This is a long non-coding RNA of Brassica napus (rape), 1574 nucleotides long. RefSeq lists it as uncharacterized. Lineage: Eukaryota; Viridiplantae; Streptophyta; Magnoliopsida; Brassicales; Brassicaceae. The record is from RefSeq and is a predicted model, not a curated record. The transcript is spliced from 4 exons.
AUAAACUAUUCCCGGAAAAGGGUCUCUCCACCACGAAACAUGUUGACAAAAAUUAGAUGCAUUUAUUUUCUUUAUUUCUCUGUGUCUUUUAGUUAUCACUUCUUCUUCAGAGUCACCAAUCCAAUGUCCGACGAAACCUUGACGAAAUCAAGACAAAAAAAGUCCUUUUCUGUUUAUCAAAACAAUUCAUUCUUUUCUCAAAGCCGAUCGAUCUACUCUUCUAAAGCCAUCACCUGAGAUUUUUUCAAGACAUACAAUCGAAAAGUAAUCAUUCUAGACAUGUGAAUGGUAAAGUAUCUAUUUCUCCAUUCUUAUUUUAAGAAUUCCGAAUUAUUAAAACACAAGACAGUUCUAAUCUCUGGGUUUUUUUUUUUUGCAAUCCUUUGGGAACUCAACUGAGUUUAAAUAAGAGCAAAUAUGUUGAGAAAAUUAUAAAUUCACCCAAUACUAAGUUCACAGAGUUUGAGUUCCCCUUAUACAUGAUCGGAUGCUUCUUCAGGACUCAAUUGUUGUCCCUGCAGUAUUUGAUCUAGAUUGCAUAAGAGAGAUGCCACUCAGAUAACAUGCACAUGGACGAACUGUCCAACUUCAUCCUUCUUCACGGUUCCAUGAAUGUUAUCACCCUAUUAAAGAGGAACACAAAAUAGUGAGCAACCUUAAAAACUAUAUGAGACUAUAACAAAAGUUUUUAAGCAAUAUAAAUACUCAUAUAAACUUACUCUAGAAUCCACGAAGACCAUCUCAAUAGUCUCACUACCCGCAGCUGAAUACUGCGUCCACAGCCGGAUGAUUUUAACCUUAACCUGUCACAUUGACUUGAAAGGCCUCAAAUCAGAGAUAUGGUUCAUUGUAGCCAUGUUGAUUUUUUUAGUUUUUUGCUCUGGUUUAGUGAAUGAAGAAAUGACUCAUAUCCUCUUUGGCUUAUAUAUGAGGAAAACUUAGAAUUAAGGAGAAUAUAUGCGUAAUGUAAGGCAUUUAAUGGAAUAGAUUUAGCUCCAAUCACUCUUAAAUCUAAGAAUUAUAUAUUUUCUGUUUGCCAUAGAUAAGUCAUUGAUACAAUAUUCUUUGUAAAUGUAGUAGUAACUUACGGAAUCACCAUAAAUAUUUACCAUAUAAAAGGGAUAUUGUGGGUUCUAAAUAACUAAUUUAGUCAAAACUAUAUAUAUACACUAACCUAAAAUGAAAAUGGCCACAUCGACGACAUAUUUAAUGGACGUACUUAGGUAAGUUAUUAGGCUAGAUACAUUAUGAUCUUAAUUGCAUGAACCGGCAUACAAUUGUACUGCAAAUUCAAAGAACAUGGUUGAAAUUCGACCAAUUCGGUUUGUGGUUCAAAUAGAGUAUAUACAUCUUGUGCUUCUCAUCGAGUUCAUGCAGUUAUAAAUAAUGUCGUUGUAGUGUUAUUCUCGUAGUUAAACAUCAUGAUGAAUACAUGAAAACUAUGUUAAGUUGGGUGAAAGAACAGUGUAUUCAGUUCGGUCAAAUUUGACAAAAAACCAUUGUUAAGUCAUAUUCUUUUUAAGUAUUUAUGUCUAUUUGAUUGUUUAGAAUGCAUAUGUGAUAUAGUCUCAUAU